RNAcentral lists this long non-coding RNA (316 nucleotides) under Capsicum annuum. Its description in RNAcentral is "long non-coding RNA (CANN_LNC006912)". Lineage: Eukaryota; Viridiplantae; Streptophyta; Magnoliopsida; Solanales; Solanaceae. The record is from RNAcentral.
UGCUUUGAUUCACGAUAAACUUAUGAAAUAAUAAUACAAGAUUAGAUAAGAACCUGUGUAGAUAAACUAAACCAAAUAAAAAAGCAAGAAAGCCAUCACCGAAAACUUAAAAUGAAAAUCCAAACUCAAACUCUAACUCUUUUCUCUCCUUUUCCUUAGUCUGCUACAUCUGUUUCUUCUUCUUCUUCUUACUUUUGUUUCCACUCUUGCUCUCUUUUCUAUUUUUUUCCCUUCACUCUUUUUUCCAGUUUUCUCUUUUAUUUUUGUCUUUUUCACUUUUUUUCCUUUCUUUCUUCUAUUUCUCUCUUUGUUUUCA